UGCAGUCGAGCGCAGGAACCAGAUGACCCCUUCGGGGUGAUUCUGGCGGAAUGAGCGGCGGACGGGUGAGUAACACGUGGGCAACCUGCCUGUAAGACUGGGAUAACUUCGGGAAACCGGAGCUAAUACCGGAUAGUAUUUCCUUUCUCCUGAUUGGAAAUGGAAAGACGGUUUCGGCUGUCACUUACAGAUGGGCCCGCGGUGCAUUAGCUAGUUGGUGGGGUAAUGGCCCACCAAGGCGACGAUGCAUAGCCGACCUGAGAGGGUGAUCGGCCACACUGGGACUGAGACACGGCCCAGACUCCUACGGGAGGCAGCAGUAGGGAAUCUUCCGCAAUGGACGAAAGUCUGACGGAGCAACGCCGCGUGAGCGAUGAAGGCCUUCGGGUCGUAAAGCUCUGUUGUUAGGGAAGAACAAGUACGAGAGUAACUGCUCGUACCUUGACGGUACCUAACCAGAAAGCCCCGGCUAACUACGUGCCAGCAGCCGCGGUAAUACGUAGGGGGCAAGCGUUGUCCGGAAUUAUUGGGCGUAAAGGGCUCGUAGGCGGUUUCUUAAGUCUGAUGUGAAAGCCCACAGCUCAACUGUGGAGGGUCAUUGGAAACUGGGGAACUUGAGUGCAGAAGAGGAGAGUGGAAUUCCACGUGUAGCGGUGAAAUGCGUAGAUAUGUGGAGGAACACCAGUGGCGAAGGCGACUCUCUGGUCUGUAACUGACGCUGAGGAGCG
This 728-nucleotide ribosomal RNA is filed under the name Terribacillus sp. Its description in RNAcentral is "bacterial SSU rRNA". It matches the Rfam family "Bacterial small subunit ribosomal RNA", at positions 56 to 755 of the family's 1533-position model. The record is from RNAcentral. Lineage: Bacteria; Bacillati; Bacillota; Bacilli; Caryophanales; Bacillaceae.